Molecule: transfer RNA, 72 nt
Filed under: Polulichloris maxima
Lineage: Eukaryota; Viridiplantae; Chlorophyta; Trebouxiophyceae; Watanabeales; Watanabeaceae
Description: tRNA-Asn
Rfam family: tRNA
About the family: Transfer RNA (tRNA) molecules are approximately 80 nucleotides in length. Their secondary structure includes four short double-helical elements and three loops (D, anti-codon, and T loops). Further hydrogen bonds mediate the characteristic L-shaped molecular structure. tRNAs have two regions of fundamental functional importance: the anti-codon, which is responsible for specific mRNA codon recognition, and the 3' end, to which the tRNAs corresponding amino acid is attached (by aminoacyl-tRNA synthetases). tRNAs cope with the degeneracy of the genetic code in two manners: having more than one tRNA (with a specific anti-codon) for a particular amino acid; and 'wobble' base-pairing, i.e. permitting non-standard base-pairing at the 3rd anti-codon position.
Source: RNAcentral
GCUCUAGUAGCUCAGUGGUAGAGCGAUCGACUGUUAAUCGAUUGGUCGUAGGUUCAAGUCCUGCCUGGAGCG